GUUAUGAGAAUCUGAACUGAAAAACCAU
RNAcentral lists this non-coding RNA (28 nucleotides) under Cricetulus griseus (Chinese hamster). The record is from RNAcentral. Lineage: Eukaryota; Metazoa; Chordata; Mammalia; Rodentia; Cricetidae.